AGUGAACGCUGGCGGUAGGCCUAACACAUGCAAGUCGAACGGCAGCACAGUAAGAGCUUGCUCUUACGGGUGGCGAGUGGCGGACGGGUGAGGAAUACAUCGGAAUCUACUUUUUCGUGGGGGAUAACGUAGGGAAACUUACGCUAAUACCGCAUACGACCUACGGGUGAAAGCAGGGGAUCUUCGGACCUUGCGCGAUUGAAUGAGCCGAUGUCGGAUUAGCUAGUUGGCGGGGUAAAGGCCCACCAAGGCGACGAUCCGUAGCUGGUCUGAGAGGAUGAUCCGCCACACUGGAACUGAGACACGGUCCAGACUCCUACGGGAGGCAGCGGUGGGGAAUAUUGGACGAUGGGCGCAAGCCUGAUCCAGCCCUACCGCGUGGGUGAAGAAGGCCUUCGGGUUGUAAAGCCCUUUUGUUGGGAAAGAAAAGCAGCAGGUUAAUACCCCGCUGUUCUGACGGUACCCAAAGAAUAAGCACCGGCUAACUUCGUG
This 492-nucleotide ribosomal RNA is filed under the name uncultured bacterium. RNAcentral's name for it is "partial 16S ribosomal RNA". It matches the Rfam family "Bacterial small subunit ribosomal RNA", at positions 29 to 507 of the family's 1533-position model. The record is from RNAcentral.